AGAUUGAACGCUAGCGGGAUGCUUUACACAUGCAAGUCGAACGGCAGCGCGGACUUCGGUCUGGCGGCGAGUGGCGAACGGGUGAGUAAUAUAUCGGAACGUGCCCAGUAGCGGGGGAUAACUACGCGAAAGCGUGGCUAAUACCGCAUACGCCCUACGGGGGAAAGGGGGGNUU
Molecule: ribosomal RNA, 175 nt
Filed under: uncultured soil bacterium
Lineage: Bacteria
Description: partial 16S ribosomal RNA
Rfam family: Bacterial small subunit ribosomal RNA
Source: RNAcentral